RNAcentral lists this ribosomal RNA (253 nucleotides) under uncultured bacterium. RNAcentral describes it as "partial 16S ribosomal RNA". It matches the Rfam family "Bacterial small subunit ribosomal RNA", at positions 524 to 776 of the family's 1533-position model. The record is from RNAcentral.
UACGUAGGGUGCAAGCGUUGUCCGGAAUUAUUGGGCGUAAAGAGCUCGUAGGCGGUCUGUCGCGUCGGCUGUGAAAACUCGGGGCUCAACCCCGAGCCUGCAGUCGAUACGGGCAGACUAGAGUGCUGUAGGGGAGACUGGAAUUCCUGGUGUAGCGGUGAAAUGCGCAGAUAUCAGGAGGAACACCGGUGGCGAAGGCGGAUCUCUGGGCCGUAACUGACGCUGAGGAGCGAAAGCAUGGGGAGCGAACAGG